GGUGGAGGAGGGGGUGAAGGUUAAUGUGCAAUUUCUAGAUGAGAAUGCCUGUGGCUUCUCUUAACCACAUAAAUGAACAAGCACUGGCAGAGAGACAGAUGGCUUAGCUGGCCCAGAGCAGCCCCAGUGCUCUUAGGGAAGGAAAAGAGCCCCCUUCACUUCACUUCAGUUCCUCCUUUCCCCAGCAGGAUCUGGCACAUUUCAGAAGUUGCUGACGUGUUGAUGCCUGCUAAAACACAACGUGGGAAGAAGAAUGAAUGUGGGCAAGCUCGGCUAGCCACUCAGAGGGAAAUGAUCUCAUUUCUCCUGCUGGGCAACCCCCAGUUGCUGG
This 331-nucleotide long non-coding RNA is filed under the name Homo sapiens (human). Its description in RNAcentral is "HSALNT0285522". Lineage: Eukaryota; Metazoa; Chordata; Mammalia; Primates; Hominidae. The record is from RNAcentral.